UACAGAGGGGGCGAGCGUUGUUCGGAAUUACUGGGCGUAAAGGGCGCGUAGGCGGCCUCUUAAGUCGAACGUGAAAUCCCCGGGCUCAACCCGGGAACUGCGUCCGAUACUGGGAGGCUUGAAUCCGGGAGAGGGAUGUGGAAUUCCAGGUGUAGCGGUGAAAUGCGUAGAUAUCUGGAGGAACACCGGUGGCGAAGGCGGCAUCCUGGACCGGUAUUGACGCUGAGGAGCGAAAGCGUGGGGAGCGAACAGG
This 253-nucleotide ribosomal RNA is filed under the name uncultured bacterium. RNAcentral's name for it is "partial 16S ribosomal RNA". It matches the Rfam family "Bacterial small subunit ribosomal RNA", at positions 524 to 776 of the family's 1533-position model. The record is from RNAcentral.